UGACACCUUUGAUUUCCGCGCAAUCAG
Molecule: small RNA, 27 nt
Filed under: Bombyx mori (domestic silkworm)
Lineage: Eukaryota; Metazoa; Arthropoda; Insecta; Lepidoptera; Bombycidae
Description: ovarian small RNA-31344
Source: RNAcentral